UUUUUUUUUUUUUUUUUUUUUUUUUUNNNUUGUUUUGUCUUUUUGCCUUUUCUUGGGCCGAUCCUGUGGCAUAUGGAAGUUGCCGGGCUAGGGGUCUAAUUGGAGCUGUAGCCACUGGCCUACGCCAGAGCCACAGCAACUCUAGGUCCAAUGUGGGAUCCGAGCCGCGUCUGCAACCUACACCACAACUCACAGCAACGCCAGAUCCUUAACCCACUGAGCAAGGCCAGGGAUCGAACCCGCAGCCUCAUCGUUCCUAGUCGGAUUCGGUAACCAUUGAGUCAUGACGGGAACUCCAAAGGGAUAAUAUUUCUUAUACAUACAUCUGAUAAAAGACUUGUAUUCAAAAUACAUAAAGAAUUUCUAUAACUCAAUACUAAAAAGAAAAACAACUCAAUAAAAAUGGGCUAAAGACUUGACAGAAACUUCCCCCAAACAAUAGAACAAUGCUCUAAUAUGCUUUGAAUUUCUGUUUCUAUGGUUUAACUAAAUAACACCUGUCUGCCCAAAACAGGUGUUAAACUUUGAAUAUAAAAAUUACCAAAUCAUAGAAAAAAUAUUCUCUCUAUAUGAUAAGCUUAACAAUGACAAAAAGAAAGCAACCAUUCUUGAUAAGUUUUUAACAAAGAAAUCAAAUGCUUUCAUCCUCAGUAGUUCUGUUUUAAUUUACAAGUGCAACAAAUAAAUAGUUUUGCUUUUUUUUCAUUUCUUCUAUGUUUAUAACAGAGUAAAAGAGUUUUUAAUGCAGUGACAAAAUGGUGAAGAUUAUGGAACAAUCAUUUUCCCUACCAAUUACUAGGGUUGCUUUGCACACAUUUUACAGACACCUUCACAGUCAUUUUUAUGGUCCCACAUCUGGUAAGGUAAAGCAGAGACUCCCUUUAUAAGAACCAUCAGUAACCAUGUUAAAGGGUUUAACAUCAUUAAUCAUCACUGAAAUGAAAAUUAAACUUACAAUUUUAAUUAUAAAUUUAAAGAGAAAUUAUUAUAUAACCAAUUAGACUGUCUAAAAUUAAAAAGAUGGAUAACACCAAAUUUUGCUGAUACUGAGAAACAAUUAGAACUCUCAUACAAUGCUCUUGGUUGAGUAUUUAAAUUAGUACAACCACUUUAGAAAAUCAUCAGUUUCUUGAGCAGUUAAACAUGUAUCUAGACUAAGGUCCAGCAAUUCCACAAAAAAGUGUUAUACAAAAAUAUCUAGAGCAGUUUUAUUUAUAACACUUAGUGUGGAGCUAUCCACAUGUCCAUCUAAAGAAAAGAGACACAGAGACAGUGGGAUAUUCAUAUAAUGGUAAAUGACUCUACAAUAAAAAGAACAAAUUAUGAUACCCUUAACAACAUGAGUUUCACAAUUAUGUUGAAAGAAACAGACCAGACAUAAAAGAGCAUGGAGCUCAAGAACAACUGAAACUAAUUUAUGUUGAUUGAAAUCAGGAAAGCAGUUGCCUUGGGGAGGGGUGAACAAGGGAACUUUCUGUGUAGGAUAGAAAUUUCUGUAUGUUGUUGAGUGGUGGCUACACGGCCAUAUGCAUGUGUGGAAACUCAUUUAAUUUUACAAUUAUGUUCUGUGCAUUUCACUGUAUAAAAUAUUUUCCCACAAUUAAAAAAAGCAUUAAAAAAUGAAAAGAAAAAAUCUUUCCCCUAAAAGUGUAGCAAUAAUAUUCAAAGUAAGUCAUAUAUUAUAGUACAUAGACACUAAUUCUUUCUACCUAAUAUUUUAUAAAUAUAGACGUGGAAAAAAUCAUUAGCUUUAUUAUAUUUCUUUUAUAUCCAUACUAGAAAAGAAGAAGACUUAUAGACUAGUACAAAUAUGUCAAAAACUACUUUCAAUUCUCUUUUGGUAAUUGUUCAAUCUUCAGGCAAAUUUCCUAAUAGUACCUGUGAAAAUAGCAAUUUAUCCAGCUUCUAGAGAGCAUGUCAUAUGCAGUAAUUUCAUUGUAAUAACAUUCUAAAUACAAACUUAGUUUUAAAUUUCAAGCAUAAACUUUAAAAAUGUACAUCUCUCAUAUGUAACAAAUAUUAACUUAAUGCAGUUGAGUUUAAAAAUUACAAAUGGAAUCUUGGCUUUUAAAAAAUCCAAUCUAAAGUAGGCUAACUUAAUAAGUAACUAAUAUCAGAAAAUUGGGCUAUUGAUUUUUAACAUAUCUUUUAAUUGGUAUAGAUUUCACUUUAUUAUCCAUAUGGAAUAAUAUUUAGUAUGUUUCUAACACUGGGGAAAUUGUUUUUAAAGUAAUAAUUCUUCUUAAUAAGGUAUUAAUUCACAGAACUAAUUGGUGACUCAAGGAUGCAGUGAUAAUAGGUUAUGAAUAUCUAAACUAUAAUAAUAACAUUAAUAGAAUAAGAAAUAUUACUUUAUUUGAAUUUUGAAAGUUUUCCAUUACAUAGUUUCUGCUACUUUUGCAUGUCUUAUAAAAUAGUUUCUUCCCCAAAAGUUGUUGUCUUAUAGUGCGUAAAAUUUAUAUCUGAAAUUCACUAAGUUGAAAUAAAUAAUAAUUUGCACAACCUACUCUGUUUGAAGACUUUACAUUCAUACUGCACUGAUUUUUAAGUUGCUACAUUAAUGUAAUAUUGUUAGUUUCUAUCAUUAACACUCAUUUAUUCUACAUUUCAGAGUUUUUACACCAUUAGUACAUACUUCCCCUGAAGUUCAGAAUCUCAGAGAAACAACAAGCACAUUUCUGAAGUUUCAAGUUAAAUGGUUAUCAGGAAGAAAGAAAAAAAGAAGGGUUUUACAUGCACACAUGAACAUGCAUAAUUUACUUAAAAAGUGAAGUAAAAGAGAGUAGGAAGAAAAUGAGGUGAAAUGGGGGAGGAGGUUGAUACAUAAAGGCUGUUAUGAAAAGUAUCAGCUACAGCUGCAUAGGACAGGAAUGGAAAAUAGGGUAACAAGAUAUGCCCCAGUUCCUAAAUAAGUUAAUAAAAUGUUGCUUGAAGAACAGCUGGCUUUAGCUGGAGCUGGGAUGAAGAAAAAAGAGUGGUUGCCUGGAGUCUACUUAAUGAAAGGUAUUAGAGCAUCAAUGGGGUCAAGCAGAAUUACACAGAGUAACUUGAAUUCACUUUUUUUUUUUACAAAAGGAAUUAUAUUUAAAAGGACCUUUAAAUUUAUAAUUUAGAAUUUGAUACCUAAGAUAAUUUCAUAACAGCAAACAUUACACCUUUGGAACUGAUCCAGGAUAAAAAAAUAUAUGUCUAGAAACUGUAAAAUUUCCCAAAAUGGCUUCAGUAUUUUAUGGAUUUUAUUAACUCACAUAGGUCAAACACAUAUUUGAGAAUAUAACUGUAGGUUUUUGUAAAUUUUAAAUCCUUACUAGUUCAAAAGACUCUAUAUACUUAGAACAUAAAUAUCUCUGCACAAAUUAAUGAAAUUCAUAUGAUGGACCUGAAUUUCCCCACUCUAUAAUUAAUCUAUUUAGCUAUUGUGAAAUAAUGCUAGAAAUAUCGUUUAAUGCCAACACAAAAGAUCUGCUGAAUUUCUAAAGUAAGAAAAGUAUCACAAUAUAGUAGAAAGAGUUCUGGGUUAGUAAGAGUUCUAAAAAUAAGUUAAAGCACACUCAGUAGACACUAAACCUCUGUGCUUCAUUUCCCAUGUUUGCAAAAUGAAAUGACUGAAUGAGGUUAUCUCUGAAAUCCAAUGAAGAUCUAAAAUCACAUAAUUUUAAAUUUUAAAAGCACAAGAAAAUACUUUUGUUUCAUCAUAGUCUUCCCUGUCACCCCUGGCAGAGUACCUCACAUGUAUUAAAUAACUUAAUCCUGAAUAUAUGGAUUAAAAGGGUACCAUACGUGAUAUUAAACAUACAUGAUAUUGAACUUCAGGUUUUGAAGAAGAUGGGGUAGAUGUGUUCCUCUAAUUCCGUCCUCUAAUUAUAACUAAAUCUGUGGAUGCCAAACAUAGAACAAACAUAAGAAGACCGUGAAAGGAGGAGGAGAAGGCAAAGCAAAGAGAGAACUCAGGACCCAAGGAAAAACACAGAAAGGAAAGAAAGAAAUAGAUUCAUUAUAGAGUGGGCAAAUUCAGGUCCUCUAUCUAAAGAGAUUUAGGAGAACGGCCAAAAAAUUCAUGAUUUCAGAAUUGCUUACGUCGCUUCUUACUCUAAAUUUAGCAGAGUUCCCAAUUUUUCAGAUCCACCACAUGAAUUUCAGUAAUUUGUGCAGGGAUAUUUAGGUUCUAAGUAUAUAGAUGCUUUUGAACUAUUCAGGUACAGGGAGCAGGCUUUUACUGGGGUCUUUCUGGUCUGAGCUGGUGGCAUUUGGAAAUUGCUGGCUUCUGGGAUAUAUGAGGAAAAGAAAACCCAAGAAACUCACCUCACCUCCUAUACUCCUCAAUACAACAUCCUGUACUACUUUCAUGCUUCGAUCUCAGCCUGACCCCUGAUGUGUGUCUUCCCUAGAUGUAUCUUAGAAUUCCUAUUUACUCCUCUGUAUAAAUCUCACUAUUUUCAUGAAUAGGGAUGGGGCCACACAGCAGCCUACCAUGAGUGCUUUAGUAUACCCAUAGUAUCAGAUCUCCCUAACUUCCACCACCUAAGAUAAGUCAAAUAAAAAGAAGAAUGUCCUUUGAUAUACACAACUGAUAUUUUCUCAUAGCAUACUGAAGAACAACAAAAAAGAAAAUUUAGAACUUGGCUAUUUUAUUGUUCUAUAUCAGAUAAUCUAAGCAAACACAAGUCUACCUGCCUAUGAAACCCAAGCUUCAAAACCCAGCAUCAUCUUCUACUGAGUCUAAACUUCUACAAAACAAUCCUUAAGCUACCAAAGAUCUUGAGAGAACUUAAACAUACUUUUCAAACUCCCCAAAAAGAGACCUCCAUGCCUAGAUAUUUUCACCGGAGAACACUAUCAAAUAUUUAAAGAAAAAUUAACACCAAUUUUACACAAUCUUUUCCAGAACUUAGAAGAGACUUGUGCUGGAAAGCUAGUAUUCCCUGAUACUGAUUCUGAAACUGGAUAAAGAUAGUGAAAAAACCCAUAAAACUCCAGACCAAUAUGGAUAGAGGCAAAAAAUCCUUAAUAAAGUAUUAGCAAGUAGAAAUCAGUGAUAAAUAAAAAUAAGCAUACCAUGAUCAAAUGGGAUG
RNAcentral lists this long non-coding RNA (5072 nucleotides) under Sus scrofa (pig). Its description in RNAcentral is "lncRNA (ENSSSCG00040001152.1)". The record is from RNAcentral. Lineage: Eukaryota; Metazoa; Chordata; Mammalia; Artiodactyla; Suidae.